This 27-nucleotide non-coding RNA is filed under the name Mus musculus (house mouse). Lineage: Eukaryota; Metazoa; Chordata; Mammalia; Rodentia; Muridae. The record is from RNAcentral.
UGGCGACCGGGUCUAGCUUUUUGGACA